Non-coding RNA from Chrysemys picta bellii (western painted turtle), 3019 nucleotides. The record is from RefSeq and is a predicted model, not a curated record. Lineage: Eukaryota; Metazoa; Chordata; Testudines; Emydidae.
UCAAUUUGUCUCCCACCAAUUCUAUCCGCCCUCACUAUCCAUCAGUCCUCUUUCCAUUCCAUUAAUCCUAUCAUUCCUCCAUUCCAUUAGUCUCUCUCUUUGUCCCCAUCUAUAAAUCCUCCAUUCCCAGAUGCUCAGUCCUCCCCCAGGAUUACGAUAUUGAUAUCCAGAAGAAAAGAAAAAAAACAGCCUUGCAGUUGUAUUUCCACAGGGAAACCAUAACAUUUGGAGUACAAGUGUUAUCACCAGUCAUAAGUCUUCCUCAGAAGCCAGGUCAGUGCUGCUGACCAAUAUGAAAAUCAACCCCCAUGUGUUCCAGUGAGGAUCUAUAAAGCUCCUAGGCUCAAGACACGGGCACUUUUGCAGCCUUCUGCCACAGGAAUAAAGAGACAAAGCUUGGGCUAGUGGACUGUUACCUGAGCUGGAAACACUGUCUACUGGAACCAUUCCCAUGACUGACUGCAAAUUGAGAGCAGGAAUGCAAGAAGCCAGCUGUCAAGGACCCACCUGUUAACUGUAUAAGAGCCCAGGUCUUCACUUUCAAGGCCUAUUCCUACCCUACCUAUCCUAUCUUGUUUCAGGAUCAAGAUGUCAAAUCCCAUCUCUAAUCAGCCAAUGGUGCCAGCCUCUAGUGCUCAGGAGUUAAAUUUUCAAACAAGUACUUUCAUGCUUUCUCCCGUGUUGCCCCUCAUGCAUGGGAGAAGCUCCCAAUAUACAGGCACAAAACUAAUUCAUUACCUGCCUUCAACACUAUCCUUAAAAAAAACUCUCCUUUGCUGUGAUGCCUACAAAAAACUUGUCUAUGGUGAGGGUGCUGGUGAGCUGAUAUCACUGCAUAUCAUGCUAACCAACACUGUCUCUGUUUCCUUAUACUCACCAUCUGUUUGUAAGCAUCUAUUGUCCCUUGUCUUUUACCCAGAUGUAAUCCUCUUGGGCCAGGGACCAUUUUUUUGUUCUGCUUGAUUGUGUUAGGCACUGCACAUGUCUUGGUUCCUGACUAGGGUUCCUGGGCACUAUAAUAAUAAUAAUAAAAAAAAUAAUAGGGUGCAGGUGUGAAGGUGAGGGAGAGGGCAGAUUUGGGAUCAUGCAGACUUGACAGCACAUUAGUUCUUCUCUUCUACCCUGUACUUCCCACUCCCCAUCUAAUCAAAUGCCCUCUGGGUAGGGAAACACCUAUUUACCUCAGUUUCUUUAGAGCUGAAAGGUUAGCCAAUAGUCUAUUCAGUGAGCCAGCUUUCAAAAUCCUGGACUUGAGAAACAAUUGGAAAGAGGAGCCAUCGUAGUCCAGUCAGAUCAGCAUAUUGUGUUAUCACGAGUCUUUUUUUAAAAUGGCCUAGCCAUCCCACUCCUACCCUUGGAGUAGGUAGGAGGGUUGUGUUGAAACUCGCAAUCAGUGGAAAUAGAGAAUACAGAUAACUGCCAAUAUCCAAAACAUUAGAGCACAUUGCUAUAUUACUUUGCUAAUACAUGGUUAUACUACUUGACCUUAGCUAUUACUGAGAUGGGUACUCUAGGUACAAUUAAGAUAUAUACAUUAUAGGGGUACCAGGGAUGUGCAAAUCAGAUGGACUGAAAUAAGAACAGACUUAAACCUACUAUAGAGAUUCUAGCUGCACCCCUCUGACAAAUAGUGUUGUAGCUGUGUCAGUCCCAGAAUAGUUGAGAGACAAAGUGGGUGAGAUAAGAUCGUUUAUUGGACCAGCUUCUGUGGUGAGACACACGAACUUUCGAUCUUAGCUCAAUGUAAGCUCCAAAGCUUGUCUCUCUCACCAACAGAAGCUGGUCCAAUAAAAGAUAUUACCUCACCCACCUUGUCCCUCUAAGACCAGAAAAUGACACAUUGCCCCAAAAAUGAGUUAAAGAUCACAGUAAGAAUGAGGAAAAACUUCGAUCUUUCACACAUCUUAUUGUAGACUUGACAAUGCAGUCUACAAUGAUCUUUCUCCUUCAAUGACUUUAAUUCAUAAUUCAUUAAUUUAAUUCAUUUAAUUCAUUACUGUCAGUGACCAAACAAAUAUGCCAAGGGAAAGCCUCGUGAAAUAAUGAAAACAGGAGCUAACCUAAAUAUAAAUAAAAUAAAACAAACAAGUUAGACAUACAGUUCUAGAAAUGUAAAGGAAAAAACAACAACCUUGAAAAAAUAAUGUAUUGGUGCACUUAUCUCUACAGAAGGAAAUGAAGAGUGGAUGAAGUAAUACCAACAGUAAGCAUGUAUCUAAUGGCUCAGCAGACCUGUAGGUCUGGUACAUUUCCAUACACAGAGCAAUUCUAUGCCUCUUGAACAUACAGUUAGUGCUUUAGUUAAUUAUGAUGGUGGCAUAUGAUAUUUUUACCAAACAAAAGGAAAGACUGACAUUCCAAAGGUAGUGCCAUGACCUUCAUGGUAGAGAAGAUACAGGACACUAUUAUAGGGGCCAGAGUCAAAGCCCACUAAAGUCAAUAAUAAAUAUAAAGCCUUAUUGAGACUGCAGGACACAGUGAUCCUGUAGUAUUUUAGGCUCCCUAACUGCCUGACUAAACAGAACUGUCCUUAUUGAAAAAAACAUAUAAAUUAUAAUAGGAAAGAAACCAAUGGGGUGCUAAGAAAUGUUAAAAGAUUCUAAAGACCUAAAAGAACUUAAGAAUUAUAUCCUUCCUAUAGAAUUUUAAUCAACCUAUAGUACCCAAUAAAGAAUUGUAGCCUUAUUAUAGAAUUCAAUAGAUUAAAAAUUCUGCAUGUGGGCUAUUAAACUAUUAUCUAUUUAGUUUUAUGAUACUUUUCCAGAAAGUUGUGACAUAAAACAGCAUGCAAAGUCUUGUUAAAUUCUAGCCUGGAUUAAGCACUCAUUGAAGGAACUGCGGAUUAUACUAACACAGUGGUAAGUAACAGCCAGCAUGGAUUUGUCAAGAACAAAUCAUGCCAAACCAAUCUAAUUUCCUUCUUGAACAAGGUAACUGGCCUAGUGGAUAGGAAGGGAGCAGGAGAUGUGAUGUAGCUGGAUUUUUGGAAUUUUGAUACAGUCCCACAAGCAGGGCUGGC